RNAcentral lists this ribosomal RNA (897 nucleotides) under uncultured bacterium. RNAcentral describes it as "bacterial SSU rRNA". It matches the Rfam family "Bacterial small subunit ribosomal RNA", at positions 8 to 916 of the family's 1533-position model. The record is from RNAcentral.
AGAGUUUGAUCAUGGCUCAGGACGAACGCUGGCGGCGUGCUUAACACAUGCAAGUCGAGCGGAAAGGCCACUUCGGUGGUACUCGAGCGGCGAACGGGUGAGUAACACGUGAGUAAUCUGCCCUUCACUUGGGGAUAACCACCGGAAACGGUGGCUAAUACCCGAUACGACACGUCUCUGCAUGGAGUGCGUGUGGAAAGUUUUUUCGGUGGAGGAUGUGCUCGCGGCCUAUCAGCUUGUUGGUGGGGUAAUGGCCUACCAAGGCUUCGACGGGUAGCCGGCCUGAGAGGGUGACCGGCCACACUGGGACUGAGACACGGCCCAGACUCCUACGGGAGGCAGCAGUGGGGAAUAUUGGACAAUGGGCGGAAGCCUGAUCCAGCAACGCCGCGUGAGGGAUGACGGCCUUCGGGUUGUAAACCUCUUUCAGUACCGACGAAGCGAGAGUGACGGUAGGUACAGAAGAAGCACCGGCCGACUACGUGCCAGCAGCCGCGGUAAUACGUAGGGUGCGAGCGUUGUCCGGAAUUAUUGGGCGUAAAGGGCUCGUAGGCGGUUUGUCGCGUCGGGAGUGAAAACCAUGGGCUUAACUCAUGGCUUGCUUCCGAUACGGGCAGACUAGAGGUAUGCAGGGGAGAACGGAAUUCCUGGUGUAGCGGUGAAAUGCGCAGAUAUCAGGAGGAACACCGGUGGCGAAGGCGGUUCUCUGGGCAUUACCUGACGCUGAGGAGCGAAAGUGUGGGGAGCGAACAGGAUUAGAUACCCUGGGUAGUCCACACCGUAAACGUUGGGCGCUAGGUGUGGGGUCCAUUCCACGGAUUCCGUGCCGCAGCUAACGCAUUAAGCGCCCCGCCUGGGGAGUACGGCCGCAAGGCUAAAACUCAAAUGAAUUGACGG